AAAAGGCCUCACACUUGAAGAUUUGUGGUGCAUUAUCUCAGUCAGCUUGAAGGUGGUUGAAAUUUGUUAUUGAUGACAGACUGAUGGCUUCUGGAAGCUUAGAGAAGUAGGCACAGUAAGUAGAUUAACUUGGUGAGUGCUUUGGUCAUUGGUCUGUGAGGAGGAGGAGGAAGAAAACAUGAAUUACUUUGAGUUAGGAGAAGGAGUUCUGCAAUUUCUAAAUGGAAAUGAAGGUUUUCAAGAGCAAAGAGAAAAAGCUGUGAAUUAUAAGACUUGCUUCCACUCCAGUUAUCUGGGGUUUGAGAUGACUGAUGAGGCAAUCUACGGCAGACUUUCUGGGGCACGUGAGUGUCUUCCAUCAGAAAUGAUGUACAUUGCAUUUGCGUGCUCCAACACAUGGAUAUUACAUUCUCAACACCAUCCCAAUAGAAAAUCAAGAAACCUCAGAUGUUGAAAUGUCUGAAAUACAAUAGGAAAAGCUGGAAAUAAUUGGCAGUAUAUGUGGAAGCAUAUAUAUGUAUAUGUGUGCUGAAACCAUACAUCUGAUCUCUGUUUAUAACAUCCCAAGCAAUCCUUUUCACUUAGAAGAGUCAUAGGCAAAAAAUUUGCGGGAACAUUACACUUUUUCAAAAAGUCUUUGGGGAUAUUAUCUUCUUGUGUCCACUUGGUAAUUUGUUGCAAUCAGAAAGCUUAGAAUAGAAUGUUUAUUUCUGGAGUUUUAGCCAUUCAAAAAAUGUGCCCUUCUCAGAAGAGAUGAUUAAGUGUGAUUGGUUCCUCAGGAUGUUAGCUUGGGGGCAAUUCUGUUUCUUUUUUAAUCCUGCCAGCAUAUCUGAAGGAUAUUGCAGGUACAGAAUUGGUGUUAUUUCUCUGGUUCUUUGCAGUGCCUGCUAUAAAUAGUUCAUAAUCUCAGAAGCACGCAUGAAGGCAGGAAUUUUUACUGGCCAGUAGAUAAUGUGUUGUGUGCUCAACUUAAAAUCUGGAACUUCAAAUCCCCUUUCACUCAGAUAGCUGGUGCACUGAAGAUAAUGGUGAAUUUUAUUAGAUGCUUACCUUCAUUGGAUAAUGAAAUCGUAUCUACCGUUAGAUGAUAGAUCGAGAUACGAGUCGUAGUCCAAUUUUCCAGCAACUCCUGGUGGAUAAUUUAUUGGAUAAUAUGUUGUAAGUUUGGGGGCAUUUUAGCCAAAGACGUUUAAUGUGUGAUGUUGAGUGUAGGGCCUAUUUUUUCCAUACAAUGAACAAGUUAGCAAAGUUGCCUCAUUUGAACACAUGCAAUAGAGGUUAACUGCAGUUGUGAUCUUUCUUCUGGAGUGGAAUGAAGUAAUGUGGUGGAAAAGUUGGAAAAGGCAUGUAGCUUCAUUAGCGUUGUUCCUUCUUGUUUUUCAUGGAGAUGGUGUGAGGUGCAGAUCACAUCCACAAUGCUUCAAGAUGGUCAGAAAGCAUUUUGGAAUCAACUUGUCUUCUGGGAGAUGAUUCUCAGGGAGGUACUGUAGUCACCACUAUCAAAUUUAUCUCAUUUUUUUGUAAUAAUUGUUGUAUCUCUAAGGAUCCUUCACACAGCCUCCUUUUACCGGAUGUGAGACUGGGGCUGAAUUGUGGCUGCAGUAGACGGAAAGCAUUAGUGCAAGGCAUCCAGUUGCCAACUAUUUGAAAGGCAAACUACUUCUUUCAUCCCUCCCUAUUAAUCCCUUACUGGCAUACAUUCCUGCAAAGGACAAAGAUACUACACCAGCCCAUUCACCUCCUCCUUCACCUCCAUUCAAGGUCCCAAACAGUCCUUCCAAGUGAGGCAACACUUCACCUGCAAACCUGUUGGAGUCACCUACUGUAUCCAGUUGUCCCAAUGCAGCCUACCCUGCAUUGCUGAGACCUGAAGCAAAUUGGGGUCUGCUUUGUCGAGCACCCCUGCUCCUUCCGCAGAAAGUAGAAUGUUGCGAAGACUAACAAUUUUAAUUCCAGUCCUCAUUCCUGCUCAAACAUGUCACUUCAUGUCCUUCUCUUUUGCCACAAUGAGGCUACUCUCAGGUUGGAGGAGCAACAAUCAACUUCUCCUACUGGUAGUUUUUUUUUCCCUUUACCCCUUUCCCUCUUCUUCUAUUUCCUCCUCUGGCCUCUUUCUUUCUCUUGUCACCUGCCUAUCAGCACAUCCUUCAAUUAUCCCAUGUUCUACUCUCCUCUCCUAUCAGACUCCUUCUUUACCAGUGCUUUACAUUUUCCACAUCACCUCCCACCUUCUUACUUCAUCCCCUCUCUCUCCCAUCCACCUGGUUCACCAAUCACCUUCUAUCUUGUCCCUCUUCCCCUCUCUCCACCUUUUUAUUCUGGAACCUUCCCUUUCCUUUCCAGUCCUGAUGAAGGGCCUCAGCCCAAAACAUUGACAGUUUAUUCAUUUCCAUUGAUGCUGCCUGACCUGCUGAGUGAUUCCAGAAUUUUGUGUGUGUUGUUUGAAAGGAUUUUUAAAACAAAUGUCCAAACAGCUGGAAAGCACCUUGUUAAAUAUUCCUGUUGAACCACUUUUCAAUAGAUAUGAACAUCAGACAAGAGAGAUUCAAAAGAAAUUAUGAAUAUACCGAACAUCAAUCUUCUUGCAGCUCAGCAUUGGCAAACCUGUAUGACUUUUUGACUGAGACCAAAUGUAAUGUUUCCUUGAAUUACUUCAUGAGUUUAACCCUUCUGCUUUACAUUCUAAUCAUUGCAAAGAGGCCUUGUGGUACUGAAAGAAACAAUAUAAUAAUCCAAAUAGUAACAAUAGCAACUUUGCUUUGUACCACAACUUUAACCUAGUAAAAUAUCCCAAUAUUGCAUCUUGUUGGAUCAAAAAGAUGAUGCCAAGGCACAUCAGGAGGCAAUAAGGAAGAGUCCAGUUUCUUGCUCAGAGAGCCAAUUAUUUACAAGUAUUUUGCCGGAAGAAGAUGAAGUAGAUGUGGUGAGGUUCAGGAGGGAAUUACAGAGCUUGGUACUUGGCAGAUGAAGACUACAACUGGGAAAGGAGAAGCUAGACCCCAGUGUUAAAGGAGUGAAGAUUAUUUGAGGUGAAGAGGAGCUGCAGAACUGGAGUUAGAGAUCAGGAGGGGUGACACCAUAAAAUAGAGAAAUCAAAGAUGAGAAUUAAAAACAAACAGCAUUACUUAACUAGAACCAAUAUAGGGCUGCUGGAUGAACAUGACUUGGUGUGAAUAUGACCUUGAGUACAGAAGAACAUGAACUAAUAAUAACUAAUGAUAAAUGAUAAUAUGGGGUUGUAAUUUCAUAUGGUUUGUAGCAGCCCUAAUUUCUGGA
Molecule: long non-coding RNA, 3276 nt
Organism: Hypanus sabinus (Atlantic stingray)
Lineage: Eukaryota; Metazoa; Chordata; Chondrichthyes; Myliobatiformes; Dasyatidae
Exons: 3
Source: RefSeq, a predicted model, not a curated record